RNAcentral lists this ribosomal RNA (467 nucleotides) under uncultured bacterium. RNAcentral describes it as "partial 16S ribosomal RNA". It matches the Rfam family "Bacterial small subunit ribosomal RNA", at positions 28 to 506 of the family's 1533-position model. The record is from RNAcentral.
GACGAACGCUGGCGGCGUGCUUAACACAUGCAAGUCGAACGGAAAGGCCCUGCUUUUGUGGGGUGCUCGAGUGGCGAACGGGUGAGUAACACGUGAGUAACCUGCCCUUGACUUUGGGAUAACUUCAGGAAACUGGGGCUAAUACCGGAUAGGAGCUCCUGCUGCAUGGUGGGGGUUGGAAAGUUUCGGCGGUUGGGGAUGGACUCGCGGCUUAUCAGCUUGUUGGUGGGGUAGUGGCUUACCAAGGCUUUGACGGGUAGCCGGCCUGAGAGGGUGACCGGCCACAUUGGGACUGAGAUACGGCCCAGACUCCUACGGGAGGCAGCAGUGGGGAAUAUUGCACAAUGGGCGGAAGCCUGAUGCAGCAACGCCGCGUGCGGGAUGACGGCCUUCGGGUUGUAAACCGCUUUCGCGUGUGACGAAGCGUGAGUGACGGUAAUGGGUAAAGAAGCACCGGCUAACUACGU